This 308-nucleotide ribosomal RNA is filed under the name uncultured bacterium. RNAcentral's name for it is "bacterial SSU rRNA". It matches the Rfam family "Bacterial small subunit ribosomal RNA", at positions 30 to 334 of the family's 1533-position model. The record is from RNAcentral.
AUUGAACGCUGGCGGCAUGCUUUACACAUGCAAGUCGAACGGCAGCACAGGGAGCUUGCUCCCGGGUGGCGAGUGGCGCACGGGUGAGUAAUACAUCGGAACGUGUCCUGUUGUGGGGGAUAACUGCUCGAAAGGGUGGCUAAUACCGCAUGAGACCUGAGGGUGAAAGCGGGGGAUCGCAAGACCUCGCGCAAUUGGAGCGGCCGAUGCCCGAUUAGCUAGUUGGCGGGGUAACGGCCCACCAAGGCGACGAUCAGUAGCCGACCUGAGAGGGUGACCGGCCACAUUGGGACUGAGACACGGCCCAA